AUGAUUCUUCAGAGGAUCUUCAGGUUCUCCUCUGUCACUUGGUCAGCAGGCUCAGUCCACUUGCGAAGGAACGUUGGUGUUACUGCGGUGGCUUUUUAAGAACUUGAUCCUCUACAGAAACUCUUUAUGGACAAGAUUAGAGAAUACAAAUCUAAGCGACAGACAUCUGGAGGACCUGUUGAUACCAGUCCACAGUAUCAGCAAGUGCUGGAGAGGGAGCUUUUAAGCUUGAGCAAAUAUAUGAUAAAGUAGACAUGAAUAGGUUCCCCACUUCAAAUUUGAAGAUCCCAAAUUUGAAGUCAUUGAAAAACCCCAGGCCUGA
This 322-nucleotide long non-coding RNA is filed under the name Homo sapiens (human). Its description in RNAcentral is "non-protein coding lnc-TBL1Y-4:1". The record is from RNAcentral. Lineage: Eukaryota; Metazoa; Chordata; Mammalia; Primates; Hominidae.